GAUGAACGCUGGCGGCGUGCCUAAUACAUGCAAGUCGAGCGAACAGAUGAGGAUCUUGCUCCUCUGACGUUAGCGGCGGACGGGUGAGUAACACGUGGAUAACCUACCUAUAAUACUUGGAUAACUUCGGGAAACCGGAGCUAAUACCGGAUAAUAUAUUGAACCGCAUGGUUCAAUAGUGAAAGACGGUUUUGCUGUCACUUAUAGAUGGAUCCGCGCCGCAUUAUCUAGUUGGUAAGGUAACGGCUUACCAAGGCAACGAUGCGUAGCCGACCUGAGAGGGUGAUCGGCAACACUGGAACUGAGACACGGUCCAGACUCCUACGGGAGGCAGCAGUAGGGAAUCUUCCGCAAUAGGCGAAAGCCUGACGGAGCAACGCCGAGUGAGUGAUGAAGGUCUUCGGAUCGUAAAACUCUGUUAUUAGGGAAGAACAAAUGUGUAAGUAACUAUGCACGUCUUGACGGUACCUAAUCAGAAAGCCACGGCUAACUACGUG
Molecule: ribosomal RNA, 497 nt
Filed under: uncultured bacterium
Lineage: Bacteria
Description: partial 16S ribosomal RNA
Rfam family: Bacterial small subunit ribosomal RNA
Source: RNAcentral